CCUACGGGAGGCAGCAGUGAGGAAUAUUGCGCAAUGGAGGAAACUCUGACGCAGCCACGCCGCGUGGUGGAUGACACCCCUAUGGGGCGUAAACACCUUUUAUGAGAGAAGAAGUCCCUAUUCGAUAGGGUUUGACGGUACCUCAUGAAUAAGCACCGGCUAACUCCGUGCCAGCAGCCGCGGUAAUACGGAGGGUGCAAGCGUUGUCCGGAAUCACUGGGUGUAAAGGGUGUGUAGGCGGAGCUGUAAGUCAGAGGUGAAAUCCUGCGGCUUAACCGUAGAACUGCCUUUGAUACUGCAGCCCUUGAGUAUCGGAGAGGUUGCUGGAAUUCGUGGUGUAGCGGUGAAAUGCGUAGAUAUCACGAGGAACAUCAGAGGCGUAGGCGGGCAACUGGACGAUUACUGACGCUGAGGCACGAAAGCGUGGGGAGCAAACAGGAUUAGAUACCCUGGUAGUCCACGCCGUAAACGAUGGAUGCUCGGUGUCGCCCUCUUAGAGGGGCGGUGCCUAAGCUAACGCGUUAAGCAUCCCACCUGGGGAGUACGCUCGCAAGANUGAAACUCAAANGAAUUGACGG
This 578-nucleotide ribosomal RNA is filed under the name uncultured bacterium. Its description in RNAcentral is "bacterial SSU rRNA". It matches the Rfam family "Bacterial small subunit ribosomal RNA", at positions 338 to 916 of the family's 1533-position model. The record is from RNAcentral.